UAGGAUUAGUGGGGUCUGGACCCUUAGC
RNAcentral lists this non-coding RNA (28 nucleotides) under Mus musculus (house mouse). Lineage: Eukaryota; Metazoa; Chordata; Mammalia; Rodentia; Muridae. The record is from RNAcentral.